UACAGAGGUCUCAAGCGUUGUUCGGAUUCAUUGGGCGUAAAGGGUGCGUAGGUGGCGAUGUAAGUCUGGUGUGAAAUCUCGGGGCUUAACCUCGAAAUGGCAUUGGAUACUGCGUUGCUUGAGGACUGUAGAGGAGAGUGGAAUUCACGGUGUAGCAGUGAAAUGCGUAGAUAUCGUGAGGAAGACCAGUUGCGAAGGCGACUCUCUGGGCAGUUCCUGACACUGAGGCACGAAGGCCAGGGGAGCAAAC
This 250-nucleotide ribosomal RNA is filed under the name uncultured bacterium. RNAcentral describes it as "partial 16S ribosomal RNA". It matches the Rfam family "Bacterial small subunit ribosomal RNA", at positions 524 to 773 of the family's 1533-position model. The record is from RNAcentral.